Molecule: non-coding RNA, 322 nt
Organism: Misgurnus anguillicaudatus (oriental weatherfish)
Lineage: Eukaryota; Metazoa; Chordata; Actinopteri; Cypriniformes; Cobitidae
Source: RefSeq, a predicted model, not a curated record
AAAUAGUUUAUUGGUUGUUAGUUUAUUCAGUGCAUCCAACGCAUCAUCAAAUGCAUCAUCCAACGCAUCAUUCAGUACACCAUUCAAUACAUCAAUCAGUACAUCAUUCAAUACAUCAAUCAGUAAUCCAUCCAAUACACCAGAAUGUACAUCAGUCUGUAAUUCAAUCCUUAAAUCAGAUGAUCCUGGUGUGUCUUUAUCAAAAAACUCCUCGUACCAGCUUACUGUAAACAGAAAUGAUGCACCUGCUGUUAUCUGUCUUAGUCAAGGUCCAGAAUGGACAGUUUUACCCAACAGUACUUAUAAAAAGGAUUAUGGUAUG